RNAcentral lists this ribosomal RNA (448 nucleotides) under uncultured bacterium. RNAcentral describes it as "bacterial SSU rRNA". It matches the Rfam family "Bacterial small subunit ribosomal RNA", at positions 28 to 478 of the family's 1533-position model. The record is from RNAcentral.
GAUGAACGCUGGCGGCGUGCUUAACACAUGCAAGUCGAGCGAAGCAGUUAAGAAGAUUCUUCGGAUGAUUCUUGAUUGACUGAGCGGCGGACGGGUGAGUAACGCGUGGGUGACCUGCCCCAUACCGGGGGAUAACAGCUGGAAACGGCUGCUAAUACCGCAUAAGCGCACAGAGCUGCAUGGCUCGGUGUGAAAAACUCCGGUGGUAUGGGAUGGGCCCGCGUCUGAUUAGGCAGUUGGCGGGGUAACGGCCCACCAAACCGACGAUCAGUAGCCGGCCUGAGAGGGCGACCGGCCACAUUGGGACUGAGACACGGCCCAAACUCCUACGGGAGGCAGCAGUGGGGAAUAUUGCACAAUGGGGGAAACCCUGAUGCAGCGACGCCGCGUGAGCGAAGAAGUAUUUCGGUAUGUAAAGCUCUAUCAGCAGGGAAGAUAAUGACGGUAC